GCGAAAUAGAGAAUCAACAUCUUUCAUUAUGUAAAUUUGGGAUAUACACUAUUCCAAAUGUCCCACUGCUAUAACGUGACGUUAACCCAAAGAAGUUGGCCUAAUAUUGUGAACUAAAUUAGAAACUAAAAAGAAUAUUAAUGGAUACAUUUCUCUCUCUCAUAUGUUUUCCCAAACGUAAAAUUCACAUCCGCCAGCAUCCUAAAGAGCAUAUACUGUACAAGCUGGCAAAUGGCGAUGGCAAAUCAAGAUGACUCCUCAGUGAACCAGUUUAAUCUCUUUUGAGGCCAAGAGUUUUGGUCGGCUACAAGACACAUUCAAAAGUGUCAAUCAGGGGGACAGGAGCAAAAUCUGCACGCACAUGCUUCUAAGAAUUCUGAUCUCCAAAUUCCAUCAUGCAAAACCUCCAUGGUUCAUGUCUUAAUAUCUGAUUGGCCCAUCCAGGCUUCCUGAUGCAAACUGUUGAACAAUUGGAUUGGUUGAUGCAGUGAAUUCAUGAGUUAUCCCUUGCCAAACAAUCUUUCCUUCAUAAAGAAACAACAACCUGUUACCUGUCAACAGCCCUCCCAAUGGUGCUAUGUUGAUGAGCAACAACCAUAUAAGAUGCAAUUUUCCCUGGCUUCCCAACUGCAUCUUCUUCUAUCAUAUGGACAGAACGGAUGAGGUCUUCUACUACAGUAGAUGCAAUUGGAUCAAGUCCAGCAGUUGGCUCAUCAUACAAAAGCACCCCUAGCCUUAUCAGUCUUACUAAACCUCUUCAUCUCUUUUGCCUUAUAGUCCAAGCAUUACAGGGAACAGAGAAGAUCAAAUUACAAAUCUCCUUCAAGAAAAUAAAGGCUGGUAUUCACUCAGUUGCUUAUCGUACCUCUGGCUCUAUUGACUCCUUUGUGAUAUCACAAAUUAUAGAGCCAGCCAAGGCAACUCUUUUCUUCAUUCCACCUGACAACUCUGAAGGUAAUCGAUCUUCAACUCCCUUCAAACCUACAGCAGCCAAUGUUUCCUUUACAAGCUCUGAGAUUUGUUCCUCUCCCAUGUUUGAGUUUUCAUAUAAUAGGAAACCAACAUUUUCACGUACAGUCAAAGAAUCGAAAAGAGCUGCACUUUGAAACACCAAUCCAAUUCGAAGCCCUGAUAUAUCCUGAUCACUAAUUAAACCAUCUCUCUUUCUACCUCGGAUAUAAACCUCCCCCUGCUCAUCAGACAUCAGAUAUAUGUUAGUUUAAAAGUUAUAGAAGUAUCUAAAUUCUAAGGCACAAAACUAAUUCACAUCCUGAUUAUUCAUCUUGUCUGGAGCAAGAAGUCCUGCAAUAAUCUUCAAUAUUGUAGAUUUCCCAGUCCCUGAAGGUCCAAUAAUACCAACUGCUUCACCAUGUCUAAUCUUGAAGCUCACACCUCUCAGAAUAUCCUUCUCCCCAAAUGACUUGUAGACAUUUUUACAUUCAAUUAGAAAAUCAGAAUCAUCCUCCGGUUCCAUUACCGUCUCCAAAUGCUCUGAUUUAUACAAAUUAUUGAAUUUUGUUGCAGGAUAUUCAUCACUGCCUAUGUUCCACGGAGGUGCCAUACAAGCACACACAACUUUUCUCUGCUCAUUUCUCGGUUUAUAACAUAACGAAGUGAUUGUGCCCGCACUCCAAAUAGAGAAUCUAGUAGACCGAGUAGAACCAUGCGGUAAUGUAGCAGGAAACAACAUUGAUCCAGACAAGGAAGCCAUACUUUGUGGAGGCACUUAAGGUUCUGAAUGGUGAUUCUACUGGUUCUGAAGCACACCCAUAUAGAUCUUCAGGCCAAAAAUUACAAAAACAUAAACAAUAUCCAAAAUGAGGAGGGUAAACAGGUUAUGGGUGAAGGAAAUUGCAAUUUUCAAGCAAACCCAGAGGCAAAGAAAUCGAAUUUCACCAUUAAAUUGAAAUUCAACAAAGGCAAACAAACAUGUGCUUUUGAGAGAGGCCAAAAUCCACAAAGCAAUGAAAUGCCGCCAUCGAAACUGAAUCCCAAAUGAGAUAUCAUAGAAAAACAACAAUAAUAAAAGAAACAAGAAAGCCAGCCAAGAACCAAAGAGGCAAACCGAUGUGAACCCAAAAAUAAGAUUGGAAAAGUAAACAAUUAUACAAAAAAAACACGUUUUUCUCGGGCUUAUGAAAGAACGAUAUUACGGGCGUCGCAAUCUUGCUUUUGGUUAGGUGAGCCGAGCUCGCUUUGGACGCAGCUUUUCCAUCUGCUUCUUUCAGGGAAAUUUCUCUCUCCUCCCGGAAAGAGGACAGCGGGAGGAGGAGGGAAAUCUUUGGGAGAUGGAUCUUAUGACCCGACCCGGUUAGGGUGUAUAAAGCGCUUGCAAGCGCAUUUU
RNAcentral lists this unclassified non-coding RNA (2344 nucleotides) under Hevea brasiliensis (rubber tree). Lineage: Eukaryota; Viridiplantae; Streptophyta; Magnoliopsida; Malpighiales; Euphorbiaceae. The record is from RNAcentral.